RNAcentral lists this transfer RNA (72 nucleotides) under Heterocephalus glaber (naked mole-rat). It matches the Rfam family "tRNA". From Rfam's summary of the family: Transfer RNA (tRNA) molecules are approximately 80 nucleotides in length. Their secondary structure includes four short double-helical elements and three loops (D, anti-codon, and T loops). The record is from Rfam by way of RNAcentral. Lineage: Eukaryota; Metazoa; Chordata; Mammalia; Rodentia; Bathyergidae.
GGGUGUGUAGCUCGGUGGUAAAGCACUUGUCUAGCGUGCAUAAGGCCCUGGGUUCAAUUCCCAGUACUACGA